Molecule: long non-coding RNA, 1074 nt
Organism: Astatotilapia calliptera (eastern happy)
Lineage: Eukaryota; Metazoa; Chordata; Actinopteri; Cichliformes; Cichlidae
Source: Ensembl
UUCCAUUCUUGUCAUUCUAAUUCUGUUGUUUUCUUUCAAAUUCUGUUGUUUUCAUUCAAAUUCUGUUGUUUUCAUUCAAAUUCCUGUGUUUUCAUUCAAAUUCCGUUCUUGUCAUUCUAAUUCUGUUGUUUUCAUUCAAAUUAUGUUGUUUUCAUUCUAAUUCUGUUGUUUUCAUUCAAAUUAUGUUGUUUUCAUUCUAAUUCUGUUGUUUUCAUUCAAAUUUUGUUGUUUUCUUUCAACUUCCUUUGUUUUCAUUCAAAUUCCAUUCUUGUCAUUCUAAUUCUGUUGUUUUCUUUCAAAUUCUGUUGUUUUCCUUCUAAUUCUGUUGUUUUCAUUCAAAUUUUGUUGUUUUCUUUCUAAUUCAGUUCUUUUCAUUCUAAUUCUGUUGUUUUCGUUCGAAAUCCGUUGUUUACAUUCUAAUCCUGUUGUUUUCAUUCAAAUUCUUUUGUUUUCUUUCAAAUUCUGUUGUUUUCCUUCUAAUCCUUUUGUUUUCAUUCCAAUUCUGUUGUUUUCAUUCAAAUUUCUGUGUUUUCAUUCAAAUUCCUGUGUUUUCAUUCAAAUUCCGUUCUUGUCUUUCUAAUUCAGUUGUUUUCGUUCAAAUUCCGUUCUUGUCAUUCUAAUUCUGUUGUUUUCAUUCUAUUUCUGUUGUUUUCAUUCAAAUUCCAUUCUUGUCAUUCGAAUUCUGUUGUUUUCUUUCAAAUUCUGUUGUUUUCAUUCAAAUUCUUUUGUUUUCCUUCAAAUUUUGUUGUUUUCUUUCAACUUCCGGUGUUUUCAUUCAACUUCCAUUCUUGUCAUUCUAAUUCUGUUUUUUUCUUUCAAAUUCUGUUGUUUUCCUUCUAAUUCUGUUGUUUUCAUUCUAAUUCUGUUGUUUUCAUUCAAAUUCCCUUCUUGUCAUUCUAAUUCUGUUUUUUUCUUUCAAAUUUUGUUGUUUUCCUUCUAAUUCUGUUGUUUUCAUUCAAAUUAUGUUGUUUUCUUUCAACUUCCGGUGUUUUCAUUCAAAUUCCAUUCUUGUCAUUCUAAUUCUUUCUUUUCAUUCUUAUUCUUUUGUUUUCAUUCAAAUUCCUGUGUUUUCAU